Molecule: small nuclear RNA, 109 nt
Organism: Jaculus jaculus (lesser Egyptian jerboa)
Lineage: Eukaryota; Metazoa; Chordata; Mammalia; Rodentia; Dipodidae
Source: RefSeq, a predicted model, not a curated record
GUGCACACUUUGGCAGCACAUAUACUAAAAUCAGAAUAACACAGAGAAGAAUAGCAAUGGUCCCUGUGCCAAGGAUGACACACAAAUGCGUGAAGUGUUCCAUGAGAAA